AGCAGGACUGUUCUGCUCUCAGGAGCACGGAGGCUCUCGUGCUUCUGAGCCGUUUUCGAUGAUGAAAUUUUCGAAUCGACGAUCGGCUCUGUUAGACUUGAUCUAGCGUAUUUGAAGGUUCUAGAAAGUAAUUUUUACGAUUUUUUGAUAACAUUUACCUAGCAAUCAAAAGGAUUCAAAAUCAAUAAUUUUUAACGGCUGAAAAUAAAAAUCCUAUAAAAAGUGGUGAUAGAGUACUAAAAUUUUCGAUCAAAAAUAUUGAUCUUGUUGUAGAUAGUAUAAAAAAUUUUGUAUCAAAAUUUCAUCUGAUUUGAAUACUUCUACACCGUUAAACUUGAAAAUGGCAAAUAUCAACCAUUAAAAAUUAUUGAUUUGAACCCUUUCGAUCACUAGGUAAAUGAUAUAAAAAAAUCACAAAAAUUAUUUUAUAGAACAUUCAAAUACACUAGAUCAAGUCUAACAAAGCCGAUCGUCGAUUCGAAAAUUCCAUUAUCGAAAACGGCUCAGGAGCACGAAGGCCUCCGUACUCCCGAGAGCACAGCAGUCCUGCUCUAUUUUAGACUGGUAUUUUGGAGGAAGAUACGUAAUAACUAAAUAAAUAUGCAAUUUCAUAUAUGGAUAUGAAUGCCCUUAAUGCUUAAAACUUGUUAUUUUCUCACCACUGUAACUAGUAUACUUGAUUAAAGGUUUGAUAAUUGAUAUUUGAUGUCAUAAAUUUGAAGUCUAAUUAUUUCAUAAUUUCAACUAAUUUUAUUUUUAAUUAAAAAAAGAACAAAGCUGGUAGUUUCUUACCUUUCACUUUUAAGAAAGAAAAUUAAAAAAAUACAAAACUUACUAGAACUACAGAUUAUUUUGAUUUUGCUACCUUAAAAAAUUUUGAUAUUUUUUUCAUCAUGCCUUUCAAUUUAUUUGACUCAACUUAGUCGGUGACACUUUGACUUCAAAAUUUAAACUAAUUUUUUACUUUAAUAAAUUUAUAGUUAUAAAAAAAUUAUACAAAAUAUGCUAAUUAAAUUUGUAAAGAUAAAUAUGACAUUCAAAAUUUAAAGUCAAAGUGUUGUUAACCGACUCAAAUCAUUCAGUAAGAAGAUUAGAUAGUAAAAUCAAAAUUUUUAAAAAUUAAGUAGUAAAAUUAAAAUGUUCAUAAUUUGGAUAAAUUCAAUAUAUUUUUACCAGACAAAAAAAAACAAUUUACUUCUUGGAACCAAGUUGAAAUCUAGUAUCCGGUCGUUGGUGCUAACUAUUAAUCCUAAAACCUCAAACUGUUAGAAAUACACAAUUAAUUUAUUCAAAACGUGUAGAUACAGUUCCCACGAGUCUCGAUUAUGACUCGGCCUAACUAGUCUCACGUCACUUCGAACAUAACUUCGCCCAACCCAGCCUCACGCAAUUUCUGUCCUAUUGAAGCUAACACCUAGGCUGCAUUUGGUUUGGUUAUAAGUAAGAACUGUUUAUUCUAAGGAUAGAUACAAGUUCAGAUAUAAGUAGGAACUAGACUAAUUUUGUAUUUGGAUGAAAAUUGAGUUGUUUCUAAGAAUAAACUAAAUAGUGUUUGGAUGAUUAGAUUGGAAUAAGAGCAAUAAGAAUUAUAAUUUUAAAUUAAAAUUAUUUUAUCUAAUUAAUUAGCAUCAAAAUAUUAUUGAAAAAUAAUUUAAUAAAUUUAUUAGCUAUUAGCUAUAAAUAUGGUAUAAAAUAAUAAAAAUAUAUUAAUUAAUUAAUUAAAUAUAAAAAAUAAUUUAACUUUCUAAUUAGUUAGUAAAUUAUUUUAGUUAGAUAACUAGUAAAAAAAAUUAAUUAGAUUAAUAGAAAUAUUAAUGGUCGAUCAAUAUAAAUAUUAGUUUAUAGAUAAAUAUAUUAAAUUAUUAAUAAUUAAUUAUAAAUAAUAAAUAAAUAAUUUUUUUAUUAUGUAAGCAGUGAAUAAUACUUUAAAUAUAUUAAUUAAAUUAAUUAAUAAUUAAUAUCAUAAUUAAAAUUAAAUUUAGAUUUUAAUUAAUCUUGUUCUCACCUUGGAACAAGCUUGUUCAAAAAAAAAGGGCAGAACAACAGUUUCAUUCAUGUACUAGUUUAUUCCAGAAAUUCGAAGCUGUUCUCGGAUACCAAACAUAGUGUUUGAGAAUAAGGAGAGAACAAACGAAGCGAAGUGGGGUAGCAUGCUACCUAUCAUAAAGUAUUUGGUGGUUGAUAUCCGAAGUCUUAAGUUUGAAUCAUAAUUGAUUCACAUUUACAGUUAAAUUUAUUUUUAAAUAUAAAAAAAAAAAAUGCUUAUUCCUCCGUUUGUUC
This 2280-nucleotide long non-coding RNA is filed under the name Ananas comosus (pineapple). RNAcentral describes it as "long non-coding RNA (ACOM_LNC033642)". Lineage: Eukaryota; Viridiplantae; Streptophyta; Magnoliopsida; Poales; Bromeliaceae. The record is from RNAcentral.